This 253-nucleotide ribosomal RNA is filed under the name uncultured bacterium. RNAcentral's name for it is "partial 16S ribosomal RNA". It matches the Rfam family "Bacterial small subunit ribosomal RNA", at positions 524 to 776 of the family's 1533-position model. The record is from RNAcentral.
UACGGAGGGUGCGAGCGUUAAUCGGAAUUACUGGGCGUAAAGCGCACGCAGGCGGUUUGUUAAGCUAGAUGUGAAAGCCCCGGGCUCAACCUGGGAUGGUCGUUUAGAACUGGCAGACUAGAGUCUUGGAGAGGGGAGUGGAAUUCCAGGUGUAGCGGUGAAAUGCGUAGAUAUCUGGAGGAACAUCAGUGGCGAAGGCGACUCCCUGGCCAAAGACUGACGCUCAUGUGCGAAAGUGUGGGUAGCGAACAGG